This 813-nucleotide unclassified non-coding RNA is filed under the name Hevea brasiliensis (rubber tree). Lineage: Eukaryota; Viridiplantae; Streptophyta; Magnoliopsida; Malpighiales; Euphorbiaceae. The record is from RNAcentral.
AUGGGAUAAGUCCUUCUUAACUCAAGAAGGAUACCAAUGGAGAUGGGUCAAUCUUCUUCAAGAACUGCUAUGCUUCGUUCUACUUCUUCAACAAAGACAGAAAGAAAGGUCAUAGAGCAAAAUAGAAGAAAUCAAAUGAAGACCCUCUUCUCCAACCUUAAUUCUCUCCUUCCUAAACAAAGUUCCAAGGAAGCAUUGCCACUGCCUGAUCAGGUAGAUGAAGCUAUAAACUACAUAAAGAGUGUAAAGGAAAAGUUGAAGAAAUACAAGGAAAAGAAAGAAAGCUUAUCAGGCAGAAAAAGAUCGUUUUCUAAUUGCACCCGUUCUUUUGAAUCUACGUCAACUUCAAGAGCACCUCAAUUAGAAAUCCGAGAAAUGGGUUUUUCUCUGCAGAUAGUUUUGAUAAGUGGGGUAGAUAAUCAGUUCAUUUUCUAUGAGAUCAUUCGCAUUCUGCACGAUGAAGGUGUAGAAAUCGCUAGUGCUAGUUUUUCAGUUUCUGGCAAUUCAAUUUAUCAUGUAGUUCAUGCACAGAUGAGGGAAUCUGAUUUCAGUUUUGGAGCUGCAAAAGUGACUGAGAGACUGAACAGGUUUAUCAACGGAUCAACGAGUGAAUUAGAAUUAGAACCAGAGUUAUGGGACUUUAAUGAUCUUAAUCCUGAGACAUGGGCAUUCUGAAAGAUGAAGUAAGAAUUCCAUUGUAGUUUUGAAUCUGGAUGACAGAGAGAUAUCUGUAUUAUAAAAUGUACUAUAUAGCAAAGAAGCCUUCUUGUUCUUUUUAAUAAUAUGGGCAACUAUAGGAAAUUUGCAUCCUAU